Molecule: ribosomal RNA, 406 nt
Filed under: uncultured bacterium
Lineage: Bacteria
Description: partial 16S ribosomal RNA
Rfam family: Bacterial small subunit ribosomal RNA
Source: RNAcentral
GAUGAACGCUAGCUACAGGCUUAACACAUGCAAGUCGAGGGACCGGCGCACGGGUGAGUAACACGUAUCCAACCUGCCCUUUACUCGGGGAUAGCCUUUCGAAAGACAGAUUAAUACCCGAUAUAAAGGAUGGGGAUGCGUUCCAUUGGGUUGUUGGUGAGGUAACGGCCCACCAAGCCUUCGAUGGAUAGGGGUUCUGAGAGGAAGGUGCCCGACAUUGGAACUGAGACACGGUCCAAACUCAUACGGGAGGAAGCAGUGAGGAAUAGUGGACAAGGGGCGCUAGCCUGAACCAGCCAAGUAGCGUGAAGGAUGAAGGCUUAUGGGUGGUAAACUUCUGUUAUAUAAGAAUAGGUAUUAUAUGAAUAAGGAUCGGCUAAAUACGUGCCAGCAGCCGCGGUAAUAC